This 103-nucleotide small nuclear RNA is filed under the name Salvator merianae (Argentine black and white tegu). Lineage: Eukaryota; Metazoa; Chordata; Lepidosauria; Squamata; Teiidae. The record is from RNAcentral.
GUGCUUUGGCAGCACGUAUACUAAAAUUGGAACGAUACAGAGAAGAUCAGCAUAGCCCCUGCGCAAGGAUGACAUCCAAAUUUGAGAAGCGUUCCAUAUAAAA